RNAcentral lists this ribosomal RNA (253 nucleotides) under uncultured bacterium. Its description in RNAcentral is "partial 16S ribosomal RNA". It matches the Rfam family "Bacterial small subunit ribosomal RNA", at positions 524 to 776 of the family's 1533-position model. The record is from RNAcentral.
UACGUAGGUGGCGAGCGUUGUCCGGAUUUACUGGGCGUAAAGGGCGUGUAGGCGGUUAGUUAAGUCUGGCGUGAAAGCUCUCGGCUAAACCGGGAGAGGUCGUUGGAUACUGGCUGACUAGAGGACGGUAGAGGCGUGUGGAAUUCCGGGUGUAGUGGUGAAAUGCGUAGAGAUCCGGAGGAACACCAGUGGCGAAGGCGACACGCUGGGCCGUACCUGACGCUAAAGCGCGACAGCAUGGGGAGCAAACGGG